This 844-nucleotide unclassified non-coding RNA is filed under the name Bombus terrestris (buff-tailed bumblebee). Its description in RNAcentral is "misc RNA ENSBTSG00005023150.1". The record is from RNAcentral. Lineage: Eukaryota; Metazoa; Arthropoda; Insecta; Hymenoptera; Apidae.
AAAGCAAACAAGCGAUAUCGUCGAAUGAUUCACUGGCCCGUACUUCCAUACAGUCACAUUUCCAUAAUGAAUAUAUUGCGAUGAGUUAUUUAACGAUUAUGUGCAUAAUUAGCACGUUUGAAGAAUACAAAAGUUAUUAGCAGAGUGUUUAUUUCGCUCGAGAAAGGUAUCUCUUCUUCGUCUUUGAAAUUCGUAUUUCGAUUGCAAAGACAAAAGACAAAGACAAAGGUUAUAAGAGACAAAGAAUUAAAAAUGCGAAGGAACGGGAGAGGGACAAGAGCGUAUAAUCGUUGUUUCUCAAUGGCAUCACGUGCGAGACGAAUCAGUGACACGCAACGUGCAACACGUGCAACGGUGCAACGAAGAGAAGAGAUAACAGUUAUCUGUCUGUGCAUGUAAGUUGAAUCGAAGGAAGAUUGUAUUCAGCUCGGCUAUGAAAUUCGUUUGUCGUUCUAUUUCGAUACAAUUUCGCGACCUUUCAAUUUAGUCAGCUAUGUUUAGCGCGAAACUAUGAAAUUACACGAUACCUAAGGUUAGUUUUACAGGGAUCUCGCUUAUAACCGAGUCCAGUUCAGUCUAUAACCAUUAUGUGAUCCGUAACAGUCGAGCGACACGGUCUGUACGAUCGUUUUAUUCAGUCGUACCGUUCUAUUUUAAGAAAUAAUAGCAGUCAAUGUUCGAUGUUAGGAACUUUAAACAUAACUUAUGGAAACGUUUCGAAUGUAAAUUUAAAUGCUCGUUAAAGUCAAAUAACUGCAUCUAAUAGAUUUGGAAGUAAAUAUUGUCUCUAGAAACGAUUUUAAAAAUGACGACACGUUAAGAGUAUCGCUAAACGAAAAGAGCG